UACGUGCCAGCAGCCGCGGUAAGACGUAGGACGCAAGCGUUAUCCGGAUUUACUGGGCGUAAAGCGCCUGUAGGCGGUCAAGUAAGUCGGAUGUGAAAGCCCCGUGCUCAACGCGGGGAAGCCAUUCGAUACUGCGUGACUAGAGAACGGCAGAGGGAAACGGAAUUUCUGGUGUAGCGGUAAAAUGCGCAGAGAUCAGAAAGAACACCGAUGGCGAAGGCAGUUUCCUAGGCCGCAUCUGACGCUGAGAGGCGAAAGCUAGGGGAGCAAACAGGAUUAGAGACCCUGGUAGUCCUAGCUGUAAACGAUGGAUGCUAGGUGUGGGCCGGAAAGGUCCGUGCCGUAGUUAACGCGAUAAGCAUCCCGCCUGGGGAGUACGGCCGCAAGGCUAAAACUCAAACGAAUUGACGGGGACCCGCACAAGCAGCGGAGCGUGUGGUUUAAUUCGAUGCUACACGCAGAACCUUACCUGGGCUUGACAUGUAGGUGGUAGUGAAGUGAAAGCGGAGCGACCCUUCGGGGAGCCUACACAGGUGCUGCAUGGCUGUCGUCAGCUCGUGCCGUGAGGUGUCGGGUUAAGUCCCGUAACGAGCGCAACCCUUGUCCUUAGUUACAAGUGUCUAAGGAGACUGCCGGUGACAAACCGGAGGAAGGUGGGGAUGACGUCAAGUCAGCAUGGCCCUUAUGUCCAGGGCGACACACACGCUACAAUGGUCGGUACAAUGGGCAGCGCAGCCGCGAGGUGAAGCGAAUCCCAACAAAGCCGAUCCCAGUUCGGAUUGCAGGCUGCAACCCGCCUGCA
Molecule: ribosomal RNA, 802 nt
Filed under: uncultured organism
Description: bacterial SSU rRNA
Rfam family: Bacterial small subunit ribosomal RNA
Source: RNAcentral